UGAAGUUACACCUCUAUGAAUAUACUACGGAGACCUAAUUUAAAUAACCACAACGGAAUGCUAUUGGCCGAUAUAUAUUUAAAUGGAACUCAGAUUAACCAAUCGCAUGCGAGCGUUUCACUUCUACAUAAAAGACACCAACAAAUAAAAUAAAUAAACACUCAAUAAAUCAAGUAAUCCCUGGUUUUACGUUUCAAACAAAUAGAAAUAAAUCAAAACUAAGGAAGCAUUCAUAUACUUGUAUGUGUGGCAAAUUUGAGCAAUAGAAAAAAUAUGUCUAAAAUAUAAUUACUGAAAACUAGUUUAUGAUAAACCAAUUACUUAAAAUAUUUACUAAAA
Ciona intestinalis (vase tunicate) is the source of this 339-nucleotide non-coding RNA. NCBI's taxonomy places the organism in Eukaryota, Metazoa, Chordata, Ascidiacea, Phlebobranchia, Cionidae. The record is from RefSeq and is a predicted model, not a curated record.